CCUACGGGUGGCAGCAGUGGGGAAUAUUGCACAAUGGGGGAAACCCUGAUGCAGCGACGCCGCGUGAGUGAAGAAGUAAUUCGUUACGUAAAGCCCUAUCUGCAGGGAAGAAAAUGACGGUACGUGAGUCAGAAUCCCCGGCGAACUACGUGCCAGCAGCCGCGGUUAUACGUAGGGGGCCAGCGUUAUCCGGAUUUACUGGGUGUAAAGGGGGCGUAGACGGUGCGCCAAGUCCGGAGUGAAAUGCCGCAGCGUAACUGCGGAACUGCUGUGGAAACUGGCUAACUAGAGUGCGGGAGAGGUAUGCGGAAUUCGUGGUGUAGCGGUGAAAUGCGUAGAUAUUAGGAAGAACACCGGUGGCGAAGGCAGCUUACUGGACCGUAACUGACGUUGAGGCUCGAAAGCGUGGGUAGCGAACAGGAUUAGAUACCCUGGUAGUC
Molecule: ribosomal RNA, 440 nt
Filed under: uncultured bacterium
Lineage: Bacteria
Description: partial 16S ribosomal RNA
Rfam family: Bacterial small subunit ribosomal RNA
Source: RNAcentral